Long non-coding RNA from Hordeum vulgare subsp. vulgare (domesticated barley), 1049 nucleotides. RefSeq lists it as uncharacterized. The transcript is spliced from 2 exons. Lineage: Eukaryota; Viridiplantae; Streptophyta; Magnoliopsida; Poales; Poaceae. The record is from RefSeq and is a predicted model, not a curated record.
GAGCUUGCUUGUUUUUCAUCCAGCGAUUAGUUAAUUUCUCUUCGAUGGCAGCGAUUUGCUAGAUCCCACACUCAAUUGCUGGGUGCGCAUAGAUCCGCCCCUGCCUGUGGUUUUGGGGAUUACUUGUUCGUUUCUGAAACGCAUCCAAGCAAGGCCGGACAGCGAUUAGGAGUUUCGCUCACACACCCGCAGUCGCGAGCACUCGUAUUUAUGUUGACUGUCCCCUGUUCAGGUGCUUUGUUAUUAUAGGAUUUAUUAGGAUGCCUCGAGUUGGAGACCAAGAUGCAUCUUCUAUCUUGAGAGUGACCUAUGAGUUGGGAUACCUUGCUUCGAUCAUCGCGGGAUGUUGGGUUGAUGGGAACAUAUAUAAACAUGGCCUUGGUUGUGUGUCAACCUUCAGGAAAUGGAGCGCACACGUUAAAGCUAUAGGGGGGCCUUUCAUGUUAGUCAACUCUGUGUUGUUGAUUCUUGACAAAACCAACUCACCAUAUGCACGGCCUUUUAGCUUUUUAUAGAACCGCACUUCUUGUUCCAUGACACUUAACAAAAGAGAGAACUGGAAGGGCGAACGGGUCUGGCCACCCUUUGGUCGCUGGAGUGGCCCCGUCCCCGGAUCAAGCACUGAAACUGCUGGAUUUUGCCUUCGGCUACUGCUUCUUAUCAGUUUACAUCUGUCUCCAUUGAUGUAUCUUAACAUGGCAAGGGGCAUCUUAACAAAAUAUAUCAUAUUUAUUUUGAGAUGCAUUUGCGUGUUUUGGGUGUGUUAAAAAAAUAGCAGCACAUGAAUGAAUGAAGGCUGAAAAAGAUAGCAGGACCAUGACGGUACGUCAAAUAUCACAGCAAUAUGAUACGCGCGCACACACACACACAAACGGAGGCGGAAGUAGAAACUGAAACUUGGCAGCUUAGAAUUCAGAUGUUUCGUUGACAAGAACUAAGAUCCACAGGCUAAAAGACAUUGCGAGUAACCAGCAGGAUGCAAGUUUUCAUGGCUGCCGUGACGAUCUUGGAAGAAUGGAGAGGGGCCAUUUUAGGAUGCCAUUUUAGGA